CUCGACUCUCGAGAAUUCAAAUUCAAGUUCAAAAUUGAAAUUGAAAUUGAAAUUCCUCUCUCCGACUCAGUUCCACGGACCACUCGCUCUCACUCUCCCUCCCUCUAAGAUUGAACCCUAGAACAAGACCUUUAGACAUAUUUCUAAAGUUACGGUUUAGAGGAAGAAGAAGAGACAACAAAUCAAUCACACUCCAAACAUAGACAUUUAAGCUGAGAAAUGCUGGUCGCAACAAACAUGGUUGUGUUCAUGUUAAUGGAGGAACGGUGGUCGUAAAAAACAUGGUGGUCAUGUUAAUUUGGUCUGUUGUUCCGGAACUACUGUAGAUAGGAAAGUGGACUCGGUUGAAAUGGUACUCAAUUUUUGCAAUCUUUAUGCUAAAGAUUUUUUUUGCCUUCAUCUACCAAAGGUUAGGUUUUCUGAGCAUGGCUUAGAUGGCGUGUAUUUUCGAUCUAACAGAAAAGAACAGGAAGUCCAACAAUGUUAACUGCAAAUUACAUAAAAUGGCUGCAAAGAAGAAUUGGUAAUGCAGGGAUGUGUGAUAAGUGAUGACUCUUCUCAGCUUUGAAGAGUUUGCAGAACUGGAAAGAACUAUGAUUAAGCUGCAAACAUCCCGAAGGGAAGUCGCAAGGUUGGAUAAGUUUCGAGAAAAUAAUAAACCCACAAAAGUUGUACAUGCGCUCUGGUGACGCUCCUAAGCAUCUAUAAUAUUUCAAGGUUGGGAAGGAAGUUUAGGUAAUCGAUUUUACUGUUAUUUUUCAAAAUUCUUCCGCUUUUCCCCCCUUUUUGUGAUAGGUAAUUUUUUUUGCCGAAAUGAAGACAUUCUGAUGUUCGAUUUCAGAGACCCAAAAGACAAAGUUUGGAUUCUUUUGUUAUGUUAUGAUACCAGAUAACUGAUGGAUAAGCAAGAACCAACAUGGAGUCAAGAGGGGCGUGGUCUAAGACUACUAUUAUAUUAUCUGACCAUGCAAGGAUGAGACUAAUCUGUACAAGUACAUCGACACUGCCACGGAAAAAUUGGUGUCUUCAUCUUCACAUUUUUGCAUCAACACCUCCUUUAUCACUCCCUUGAAGCAGUCAAUGGUACUACCCCUUCACAAAUAAAGUAGCCCACCAUCGUGGUUAUUCUUUGCAUUGGCCCCUCCAUUAUCAGUUCACUCUCAAAACCAACAAUUUUAUCAUUUUUGUUGAGUUGUUCAAUUAAGGUAAUUGACGCUCCAAAUCAUGGAGCUUUGAAUUUGUCAGGAACCCAUGUAUCUAUAUAUCCUCGAGGUUUCCGUUAGCCGUUUAGUUGUAUAAUUGUUUCUUAAUGAAAUAUGUUAUUCCUAUAUCCAACAGUUCAGAAUAAUGUCAGUGGUUCAAUUGUGUCAGCUCAAUUGCUUAAUGAAAUGUGCUAGCCAUUAAUUUUUA
Long non-coding RNA from Papaver somniferum (opium poppy), 1410 nucleotides. RefSeq lists it as uncharacterized. The transcript has 8 exons. The record is from RefSeq and is a predicted model, not a curated record. Lineage: Eukaryota; Viridiplantae; Streptophyta; Magnoliopsida; Ranunculales; Papaveraceae.